GAUGAACGCUAGCGGCAGGCUUAACACAUGCAAGUCGAGGGGUAGAGGAAGCUUGCUUCCUUGAGACCGGCGCACGGGUGCGUAACGCGUAUACAAUCUACCUUUUACAGAGGGAUAGCCCCAGAGAAAUUUGGAUUAAUACCUCAUAGUAUUUUCGGAUCGCAUGAUUUGAUUAUUAAAGUUCCAACGGUAAAAGAUGAGUAUGCGUCCCAUUAGCUAGAUGGUAAGGUAACGGCUUACCAUGGCAAUGAUGGGUAGGGGUCCUGAGAGGGAGAUCCCCCACACUGGUACUGAGACACGGACCAGACUCCUACGGGAGGCAGCAGUGAGGAAUAUUGGACAAAUGGGCGGCGAAGCCGUGAUCCAGCCAUGCCGCGUGGACAGGAAGAAAGGUCAUCUAUGGUGU
Molecule: ribosomal RNA, 406 nt
Filed under: uncultured bacterium
Lineage: Bacteria
Description: bacterial SSU rRNA
Rfam family: Bacterial small subunit ribosomal RNA
Source: RNAcentral